AGAAGACCCAGGAGGCCAUUGACAUCAUACAAAGAUUGUUUUCACCAUGAACUCUCUUCCUGUGACAUGUCACAUCCUCGGAGCAGAGAUAGCCUUCCUGGAAGAAAGCGGUGUUUUCUGAGUAACUGGAGUCCGCAGCCCAGAGGAAGAAGGGAUGAAGGACACAGAGAGAGAGAAGAAGAAGAAGCCCUUUCAUCCUCAGGUCCUAACAGCAUCAUCAAACAGGGUGGCGCAGUGGUUCAGAAUCCGCCUGCCAGUGCAGGGGACACAGGUUCGAUUCCUGCCCCAGGAGGAUCCCACAUGUCUUGGAGCAACUAAGCCCGUGAGCCACAACUACUGGAGCCUGUGCUCCUCAACAAGAGGAGCCACCCCAGUGAGGAGCCACGCACCACAAUGAAGAGUAGCCCCCACUUACCACAACUAGAGAAAGCCUGCACGUAGCAACGAAGACCCAACGACAGCCAA
Long non-coding RNA from Hippopotamus amphibius kiboko, 465 nucleotides. RefSeq lists it as uncharacterized. The transcript has 3 exons. The record is from RefSeq and is a predicted model, not a curated record. Lineage: Eukaryota; Metazoa; Chordata; Mammalia; Artiodactyla; Hippopotamidae.